GCGUUGGUAGUCUGGUGGUAGAAUUCUCACCUUCCAUGUGGGAGACCGAGGUUCAUUUCCAAGCCAAUGCA
This 71-nucleotide transfer RNA is filed under the name Loxodonta africana (African savanna elephant). It matches the Rfam family "tRNA". From Rfam's summary of the family: Transfer RNA (tRNA) molecules are approximately 80 nucleotides in length. Their secondary structure includes four short double-helical elements and three loops (D, anti-codon, and T loops). Further hydrogen bonds mediate the characteristic L-shaped molecular structure. tRNAs have two regions of fundamental functional importance: the anti-codon, which is responsible for specific mRNA codon recognition, and the 3' end, to which the tRNAs corresponding amino acid is attached (by aminoacyl-tRNA synthetases). tRNAs cope with the degeneracy of the genetic code in two manners: having more than one tRNA (with a specific anti-codon) for a particular amino acid; and 'wobble' base-pairing, i.e. permitting non-standard base-pairing at the 3rd anti-codon position. Lineage: Eukaryota; Metazoa; Chordata; Mammalia; Proboscidea; Elephantidae. The record is from Rfam by way of RNAcentral.